RNAcentral lists this ribosomal RNA (337 nucleotides) under uncultured bacterium. RNAcentral describes it as "partial 16S ribosomal RNA". It matches the Rfam family "Bacterial small subunit ribosomal RNA", at positions 338 to 667 of the family's 1533-position model. The record is from RNAcentral.
CCUACGGGUGGCAGCAGUGGGGAAUAUUGCGCAAUGGGCGAAAGCCUGACGCAGCGACGCCGCGUGAGGGAUGAAGGCCCUCGGAGUGUAAACCUCUGUUAGCAGGGGAGUACGGUCACUGUCCUAAUCAGCAGUGAAUUGACGGUACCUGCAAAGGAAGCACCGGCUAACUCCGUGCCAGCAGCCGUGGUAAUACGGAGGGUGCGAGCGUUAAUCGGAUUUACUGGGUGUAAAGCGCGCGUAGGCGGUAUGUCAAGUCAAGGGUGAAAUCCCCGGGCUCAACGUGGGAACUGCCUUUGAAACUGGUGAACUGGAGAGUGGGAGAGGAUAGUGGAAU